Galeopterus variegatus (Sunda flying lemur) is the source of this 484-nucleotide RNA transcript. It is a transcript of the gene named heat shock 70 kDa protein 6-like, with no coding region annotated. The record is from RefSeq and is a predicted model, not a curated record. The transcript has 2 exons. NCBI's taxonomy places the organism in Eukaryota, Metazoa, Chordata, Mammalia, Dermoptera, Cynocephalidae.
GAGUGCGAGAAGCCACAGCCAUGUCCGCCCCAGGGGAAGUGGCCAAUGGGCAUCGACUGGGCACCACGUACUCGUGCGUGGGCGUGUUCCAGCAGGGUCGGAUCCUGAAUGUGACAGCCACUGACAGGAGCACAGGCAAAGCUAACAAGAUCACCAUCACCAAUGACAAGGGCCGGUUGAGCAAGGAAGAGGUGGAGAGGAUGGUUCGUGAGGCUGAGCAGUACAAGGCUGAGGACGAGGCCCAGAGGGCAGGGUAGCUGCCAAAAACUCCCUGGAGGCCCAUGUCUUCCAUUUGAAGAGUUCCUUGCAAGAGGAAGGCCUUAGGGACAAGAUUCCUGAAGAGGACAGGCAAAAAGUGCAAGACGAAUGUCAGGCUGUCCUCACCUGGCUGGAGCACAACCAGUUGGCAGAGAAGGAGGAGUAUGAGCAUCAGAAGAGGGAGCUGGAGCAGAUCUGUCGCCCCAUAUUCUUCAGGCUCUGUGGG